CCAACAUAGAAAAAACAAAAAAAAAAAAAAAAAAUCACGAUAUUUUGCGAGAACCGAGUUCAAUAAUUGUUUUAUCAUUCACUUAUAAAGCUUCAUUUUAUCUUUCGUUUCAUAUAAGUUCGCCGUCUCUCUUUCUUGCUUUUGCAUAAAACUUGCGAAGGACGUUGACAAGAGUUUCUUUUGAGCCAACUAGAUCGUCUUCGUUGAUCUAUCUUGCUUCUAAAUGCUGACGAAAGACAUUGACGGCGGUUUCAGUCGCUUUUUUGUUUUCCGCGUUUUUUUCUUCAAGUAUAAAGC
Molecule: non-coding RNA, 297 nt
Organism: Paramuricea clavata
Lineage: Eukaryota; Metazoa; Cnidaria; Anthozoa; Malacalcyonacea; Plexauridae
Source: the annotation of a GenBank genome assembly